ACCAAUCCGUCGGCGUCGGGCGGGCUGACGGUGGUUUUCGGUUUUUACUACCGACGUACACAAAAAUCUUCUUAGAGGGACAGGCUGCGUCUAGCCGCACGAGAUUGAGCAAUAACAGGUCUGUGAUGCCCUUAGAUGUCCGGGGCCGCACGCGUGCUACACUGAAGUGGUCAUCGUGCAUACUGUUUCCUGCUCCGAAAGGAGUGGGUAACCGCUUGAACCCAUUUCGUGAUGGGGAUUGGGCAUUGUAAUUAUUGCCCAUGAACGAGGAAUUCCCAGUAAGCGCGAGUCAUAAGCUCGCGUUGAUUACGUCCCUGCCCUUUGUACACACCGCCC
RNAcentral lists this ribosomal RNA (336 nucleotides) under Chloropicon mariensis. RNAcentral's name for it is "partial Eukaryotic small subunit ribosomal RNA". It matches the Rfam family "Eukaryotic small subunit ribosomal RNA", at positions 1362 to 1674 of the family's 1831-position model. The record is from RNAcentral. Lineage: Eukaryota; Viridiplantae; Chlorophyta; Chloropicophyceae; Chloropicales; Chloropicaceae.